GACGAACGCUGGCGGCGUGCUUAACACAUGCAAGUCGAGCGGUAAGGCCCUUUCGGGGGUACGACGAGCGGCGAACGGGUGAGUAACACGUGGGUGACCUGCCCUCAGCUCUGGGAUAAGCCUGGGAAACCGGGUCUAAUACUGGAUAUGACUCCAUGACGCAUGUUGUGGGGUGGAAAGCCUUGUGCGGCUGGGGAUGGGCCCGCGGCCUAUCAGCUUGUUGGUGGGGUGAUGGCCUACCAAGGCGACGACGGGUAGCCGGCCUGAGAGGGCGACCGGCCACACUGGGACUGAGACACGGCCCAGACUCCUACGGGAGGCAGCAGUGGGGAAUCUUGCGCAAUGGGCGAAAGUCUGACGCAGCGACGCCGCGUGAGGGAUGACGGCCU
RNAcentral lists this ribosomal RNA (389 nucleotides) under uncultured bacterium. RNAcentral describes it as "bacterial SSU rRNA". It matches the Rfam family "Bacterial small subunit ribosomal RNA", at positions 28 to 417 of the family's 1533-position model. The record is from RNAcentral.